UACGUAGGGACCAAGCGUUGUUCGGAUUUACUGGGCGUAAAGGGCGCGUAGGCGGCAUGACAAGUCACUUGUGAAAUCUUCGGGCUUAACCCGGAACGGCCAAGUGAUACUGUCAUGCUAGAGUGCAGAAGGGGCAAUCGGAAUUCUCGGUGUAGCAGUGAAAUGCAUAGAUAUCGUGAGGAAUACCAGAGGCGAAGGCGGCUACCUGGACAAUUGCUGACGCUCAGGCACGAAAGCGUGGGGAGCAAAAGGG
Molecule: ribosomal RNA, 253 nt
Filed under: uncultured prokaryote
Description: partial 16S ribosomal RNA
Rfam family: Bacterial small subunit ribosomal RNA
Source: RNAcentral